RNAcentral lists this ribosomal RNA (395 nucleotides) under uncultured bacterium. RNAcentral's name for it is "bacterial SSU rRNA". It matches the Rfam family "Bacterial small subunit ribosomal RNA", at positions 36 to 422 of the family's 1533-position model. The record is from RNAcentral.
GGCCGCGGGAAUUCGAUUCAGGCCUAACACAUGCAAGUCGAACGGCAGCACGGACUUCGGUCUGGUGGCGAGUGGCGAACGGGUGAGUAAUACAUCGGAACGUGCCCAGUCGUGGGGGAUAACGUAGCGAAAGCUACGCUAAUACGGCAUACGAUCUAAGGAUGAAAGCGGGGGAUCGCAAGACCUCGCGCGAUUGGAGCGGCCGAUGGCAGAUUAGGUAGUUGGUGGGGUAAAGGCUCACCAAGCCGACGAUCUGUAGCUGGUCUGAGAGGACGACCAGCCACACUGGGAGUGAGACACGGCCCAGACUCCUACGGGAGGCAGCAGUGGGGAAUUUUGGACAAUGGGCGCAAGCCUGAUCCAUCCAAGCCGCGUGCAGGAUGAAGGCCCUCGGG